GGCGAACGGGUGAGUAACACGUGAGCAACCUGCCCCUGGCUCUGGGACAACCACUGGAAACGGUGGCUAAUACCGGAUACGACCUAUCACCGCAUGGUGUGUGGGUGGAAAGUUUUUCGGCUGGGGAUGGGCUCGCGGCCUAUCAGCUUGUUGGUGGGGUGAUGGCCUACCAAGGCGACGACGGGUAGCCGGCCUGAGAGGGCGACCGGCCACACUGGGACUGAGACACGGCCCAGACUCCUACGGGAGGCAGCAGUGGGGAAUAUUGCACAAUGGGCGAAAGCCUGAUGCAGCGACGCCGCGUGAGGGAUGACGGCCUUCGGGUUGUAAACCUCUUUCAGCUCCGAAGAAGCGAAAGUGACGGUAGGAGCAGAAGAAGCACCGGCUAACUACGUGCCAGCCGCCGCGG
RNAcentral lists this ribosomal RNA (409 nucleotides) under uncultured bacterium. RNAcentral describes it as "bacterial SSU rRNA". It matches the Rfam family "Bacterial small subunit ribosomal RNA", at positions 97 to 520 of the family's 1533-position model. The record is from RNAcentral.